Molecule: long non-coding RNA, 260 nt
Filed under: Ornithorhynchus anatinus (platypus)
Lineage: Eukaryota; Metazoa; Chordata; Mammalia; Monotremata; Ornithorhynchidae
Description: lncRNA (ENSOANG00000049348.1)
Source: RNAcentral
AUGCCACCCGGCACCUGCAUGCCAGGAGCCUUUCUUUGGGUCGCCCCCAAGUUCCCAAACCGUUUCCAAAAGAAAAGCAAAGAAACGCUCCUCUCCGACGAUGGAAGUCCUGGCACUGCCUCCAGCUUGGCUCUCUUCAUCUUCUCCUUCUUCUGGCAGAGCCCCAGCAUCUCCAAGGAGACACAGCACCUAGAGCGGGCCAUGGCCAGCUGCCUCCCACCAGGGAGAAGAAGACUACAUCUAAAUCCCCACAGUGGCUU